This 1204-nucleotide long non-coding RNA is filed under the name Scleropages formosus (Asian bonytongue). RNAcentral's name for it is "lncRNA (ENSSFOG00015028571.1)". The record is from RNAcentral. Lineage: Eukaryota; Metazoa; Chordata; Actinopteri; Osteoglossiformes; Osteoglossidae.
AAUGACUUUAGACGGUUAAUUUUUUGGAGCACUGAGCUUGCAACCCAUUAGAAUAUUUUGUCCGAGUGCGAAGAGAAAGGCGGCCAUCUUUACGCGACACCCGGUCGGUGUAGAACAGGACAAGCCUUCGGAAAAGGCGGUACAUUUCAGCAGCCUGUUCAGAUAUAUUAUAUGAUUUCCGUGCUUGUUUAGCCAGGCCAAACUGCCUCACUUUAUAAUACUUUACUCUUUUCCAGCCACGCACCGCAUGAUUUAUUUUCGGUUGCUAAGACCUGUGUCAAGCUGAUCCGUGUUUUUGCUGCGUCUUCCUUUUUUUUUCUUGUAAACUCAAACUGAACGCAAACAUUUACAUUACGUGCGUAUUGUAUUCAUUUAGCAGACGCUUUUCUCCAAAGCGACGUACAUCUGAGAAAAUACAAUUUGUGCAUUACAUUAAGGAGACACAGCUGCAGAUGUGUGGUUCUAGUAGUUUCCUUCACCGUAUGAACCGACGUUCGUCACACAAGUAGCUGCAUAAACUUCACCGGAAUUCGUCGAUUCUAGUAGUUUUCUUGAGAUACCUAAACGUUUACAUACACUCAUAAAACCACUGUCAUCGCACGCUAAAAUUUGUAGCAGUGGUCAUCUUCACUCGUACCCAGACCAGACCUAGUAUUUUUGCUAAUACUUCUCGUUACUAUUUGUGGGGGGAGCGCGAGUGGCGCAGUAGUUCUUAAAACGGGACAGAGGGCAGCGGCCCUCCCUUCGUUCGUCUUCCUUCCAUUUCAGUCCCGUUUCAUUCUACACGUAUGCGGGAAAGUUCUGCGGCGGUGUGUUUGUAGCAGGGUGGCGACGAGAGAAACCCCGCCUGCGGCAGCGGACACACACACACGCAGUGUCAGAACACCUGCACACGUACUGUACUUCACACACGCGGAGAAACCGCCCCCCCACCGCACUGUGACUGUGCUUGACGCGUUACUCGAAACGCACCUGACUUGCAGAAGCAGUUCCGUCCGCGGAAACGCUGCGUUACGUCCGGCCUUGUGACCCCAUGAGGAUGCGUCACCGCAGUAACUGACAAGAGGUGGAAGAGUUACCAAGACAACAGCUCAUAACACUGGCAUAAUAUGCUAGAUAGAGUUGCACUGUGAACUUGGAAGUUUCCACAAUUACAGUUUUUGCCCCCGGGGAGCACAUUUUUGAUUUUUUUACAGGAAAGGCU